RNAcentral lists this ribosomal RNA (253 nucleotides) under uncultured bacterium. RNAcentral's name for it is "partial 16S ribosomal RNA". It matches the Rfam family "Bacterial small subunit ribosomal RNA", at positions 524 to 776 of the family's 1533-position model. The record is from RNAcentral.
UACGUAGGGUGCAAGCGUUAUCCGGAAUUAUUGGGCGUAAAGAGCUCGUAGGCGGUUUGUCGCGUCUGCCGUGAAAGUCCGGGGCUCAACUCCGGAUCUGCGGUGGGUACGGGCAGACUAGAGUGUUGUAGGGGAGACUGGAAUUCCUGGUGUAGCGGUGAAAUGCGCAGAUAUCAGGAGGAACACCGAUGGCGAAGGCAGGUCUCUGGGCAUUAACUGACGCUGAGGAGCGAAAGCAUGGGGAGCGAACAGG